This 1169-nucleotide ribosomal RNA is filed under the name uncultured soil eukaryote. RNAcentral describes it as "SSU rRNA". It matches the Rfam family "Eukaryotic small subunit ribosomal RNA", at positions 744 to 1799 of the family's 1831-position model. The record is from RNAcentral.
UCUAAGGUUUACCUUGAAUGAAUUAGAGUGUUCAAAGCAGACGUAAUUCGUCUUGAAUAUUUUUAGCAUGGGAUAAUGAAAUAUGACAAACGGGUCAUAAUUUGUUGGUUUCUAGGCACCGUCUUUGUAAUGAUUGAAAGAAACAGUCGAGGUCGCUGGUAUUCUGCGGUGAGAGGUGAAAUUCUAAGACCCACAGAGGACCGACAAAUGCGAAGGCAUUCGACAAGGAUGUUUUCAUUAAUCAAGAACGAAAGUUGAGGGAUCGAAGAAGUUGAGGGAUCGAAGAUGAUCAGAUACCGUCGUAGUCUCAACCGUAAACCAUGCAGACUAGGGAUAAGAGGAAGUUACAUGGAUGACUCUUCUUGCACCUUAUUAGCGAAAGCAUUAAGUAUUCGUGCUCCGGGGGGAGUAUGGUCGCAAGACUGAAACUUAAAGGAAUUGACGGAAGGACACCACCAGGCGUGGAAUCUGCGGCUUAAUUUGACCCAACACGGGAAAACUCACCCGAACCGGAUGCCGAUAGGAUUGACAGACUGAUAGCUCUUUCUUGAUUCUGUAGAAGCCGGUGCAUGGCCGUUUUUAGUUGGUGGAGUGAUUUGUCUGCUUAAGUGCGAUAACGAACGAGACCCCAAUAGGUUAAAUAGACGAAGGAACAGGGAGGUGUUAUCUGUGUUCGUCUCUGGAUCGAAAGGUUUAGGGAUCACGGAAUAACAUUUCCAUUCGGUUGUUUCUUAAAGUCUUCUUAGAUAGACACCUUGCGAUAAAAAUAGCAAGGGGAAGCGUGGGGCAAAAACAGGUCUGUGAUGCCGCUCGAUGCUCGGGGCUGCACGCGCAUUACACUGAAAUGUGCAGCAAGUAAGAUAAGUUCCUAGUGAACUAUUUCGUCCUAUCCCGAAGGGGAGUAGGCAAUCUUAGAAAGCAUUUCGUGACUGGGAUUGUGCAUUGAAACUAUUGCACACGAACGAGGAAUGCCUAGUAAGGGUUAGGUCAUCAACCUACCCUGAUUACGUCCCUGUCCUUUGUACACACCGCCCGUCGCUUCUACCGAUCGAACUACUCGAUGAGGAUUCGGGACGAAGAUUAUUUAGAGCGUCUCGCAAGGGAUGUUCUAUUUGCUUUGAAACCUAUUCGAAUCUCGUAGUUUAGAGGAAGAAGAAGUCGUAACAAGG